AGUUACAAAUCUCCAACCUGCUCUGAAACACAUUUGUCCCCUCCUCGCUUUUAUUGCUUUUAGGAACCCUCUCACACUGGGCGCUGCAACUCUCAAAGGGCGGGGAAAACAAUUCAUCACAUAGUUGCAGCGCUAAUGACAUUCACUAUUUAGACACAUGUUAUCUACACUCUAAAUCCUUCUGCUCCAGUCGAGUACCAGACACGGCGUCGAGUAGGACACAGUUGUCUCCGCUAUCUCCCAGGAAGUCUUCACUGCUCUCUUUCCCAAGGAGGUCACAGGAAGGAAUCAAAGUUAUUUAAAACACAGAAACAUUACUUAAAAUAGAAGAAACAAAGAAAAAGCAUAUAAUUAAACAUUAUCUAAAUGUAACUACAAGGCUACAUGAUACAACGAAUAUUUGAUAAUUAGUAAAAACAAUACAAUUUACCCAACAUCUCCCCCCUGUUUAUCACAUAUUUGUUCCACACCUCUUAUCCCUCCAAAAACAGUCACUUCAAAUGAUUUUCAACUGGGAGUUCAUUUUUUGGAAAGCAAACAUGUUUACACUCAGGGGUCAUACCCAGUCCAAAAGCCAGGAUCUGGAUACCUGUCAGAAGAAUCCUCAUCAGAGUAUUCUUUGUCAACAUCAGAUUUUUUCUCUAAUAAAGGAUACAUCUGUGCCAUCUGGUCCUCCAUGGGUGAAAUCGCUGUGGUAAUGAGACGGUUAAACAAAGAACGCAGGCACGGAACAAAACAACAUCCACACAAAGUCAAAAUUGCAGCAAAAACUGCAAUUGA
Molecule: long non-coding RNA, 780 nt
Organism: Xiphophorus hellerii (green swordtail)
Lineage: Eukaryota; Metazoa; Chordata; Actinopteri; Cyprinodontiformes; Poeciliidae
Exons: 2
Source: RefSeq, a predicted model, not a curated record